This 440-nucleotide ribosomal RNA is filed under the name uncultured bacterium. RNAcentral describes it as "bacterial SSU rRNA". It matches the Rfam family "Bacterial small subunit ribosomal RNA", at positions 338 to 777 of the family's 1533-position model. The record is from RNAcentral.
CCUACGGGAGGCUGCAGUCGAGAAUCUUCGGCAAUGGACGCAAGUCUGACCGAGCGACGCCGCGUGCGGGAUGAAGGCCUUCGGGUUGUAAACCGCUGUCAGUGGGGAGGAAGGCUCCGUGAAGAGCGGGGUUUGACCUAUCCGCAGAGGAAGUGUGGGCUAAGCUCGUGCCAGCAGCCGCGGUAAGACGAGCCACACGAACGUUAUUCGGAAUUACUGGGCUUAAAGGGUGCGUAGGCGGCGCGGAAAGUUGGGUGUGAAAUCCCUCGGCUCAACCGAGGAAUUGCGCUCAAAACUACCGUGCUCGAGGGAGAUAGAGGAGUGCGGAACUUACGGUGGAGCGGUGAAAUGCGUUGAUAUCGUAGGGAACACCGGUGGCGAAAGCGGCACUCUGGAUCUCAUCUGACGCUGAUGCACGAAAGCUAGGGUAGCAAACGGGA